AACGAACGCUGGCGGCAUGCCUAACACAUGCAAGUCGAACGAGACCUUCGGGUCUAGUGGUGCACGGGUGCGUAACGCGUGGGAACCUGCCUUUAGGUUCGGAAUAACUCCCCGAAAGGGGUGCUAAUACCGGAUAAUGUCUUCGGACCAAAGAUUUAUCGCCUUUGGAUGGGCCUGCGUUGGAUUAGCUAGUUGGUAGGGUAAAAGCCUACCACGGCGACGAUCCAUAGCUGGUCUGAGAGGAUGAUCAGCCACACUGGGACUGAGACACGGCCCAGACUCCUGCGGGAGGCAGCAGUGGGUAAUAUUGGACAGUGGGCGAAAGCCUGAUCCAGCAAUGCCGGGUGAGUGAUGAAGGCCUUAGGGUUGUAAAGCUCUUUUACCCGGGAUGAUAAUGACAUUACCGGGAGAAUAAGCUCCGGCUAACUCCGUG
This 433-nucleotide ribosomal RNA is filed under the name uncultured bacterium. RNAcentral's name for it is "partial 16S ribosomal RNA". It matches the Rfam family "Bacterial small subunit ribosomal RNA", at positions 29 to 507 of the family's 1533-position model. The record is from RNAcentral.